Molecule: ribosomal RNA, 205 nt
Filed under: uncultured bacterium
Lineage: Bacteria
Description: partial 16S ribosomal RNA
Rfam family: Bacterial small subunit ribosomal RNA
Source: RNAcentral
UGCGUAGGCGGCCUGACAAGUCAGGGGUGAAAUGUUAUCGCUUAACGAUGAAAUUGCCUUUGAUACUGUUGGGCUUGAAACAGGUUGAGGUUGGCAGAAUGUGGCAUGUAGCGGUGAAAUGCAUAGAUAUGCCAUAGAAUACCGAUUGCGUAGGCAGCUGGCUGGACCUGGAUUGAGCUGAGGCACGAAAGCGUGGGAGCAAACA